This 230-nucleotide ribosomal RNA is filed under the name uncultured bacterium. Its description in RNAcentral is "partial 16S ribosomal RNA". It matches the Rfam family "Bacterial small subunit ribosomal RNA", at positions 794 to 1028 of the family's 1533-position model. The record is from RNAcentral.
UCUAUGCCGUAAACUUUGUACACUUGGUGUCGGGGGUCAAACCUCGGUACCGAAGCUAACGCGAUAAGUGUACCGCCUGGGGAGUAUGCCGGCAACGGUGAAACUCAAAGGAAUUGACGGGGGCCCGCACAAGCGGUGGAGCAUGUGGUUUAAUUCGAUACGCGAGGAACCUUACCAGGGUUUGACAUAUUAGUGACCGUUUUAGAGAUAAGAUUUUCCCUUCGGGGACG